Molecule: ribosomal RNA, 253 nt
Filed under: uncultured bacterium
Lineage: Bacteria
Description: partial 16S ribosomal RNA
Rfam family: Bacterial small subunit ribosomal RNA
Source: RNAcentral
UACAGAGGAUGCAAGCGUUAUCCGGAAUGAUUGGGCGUAAAGCGUCUGUAGGUGGCUUUUUAAGUCCGCCGUCAAAUCCCAGGGCUCAACCCUGGACAGGCGGUGGAAACUACCAAGCUGGAGUACGGUAGGGGCAGAGGGAAUUUCCGGUGGAGCGGUGAAAUGCGUAGAUAUGUGGAGGAACACCGAUGGCGAAGGCAGCCCCCUGGGAUAACACUGACGCUCACGCACGAAAGCGUGGGGAGCAAACAGG